Alexandromys fortis (reed vole) is the source of this 1995-nucleotide long non-coding RNA. RefSeq lists it as uncharacterized. The transcript has 3 exons. Lineage: Eukaryota; Metazoa; Chordata; Mammalia; Rodentia; Cricetidae. The record is from RefSeq and is a predicted model, not a curated record.
UAGAACAUAGGUGGGUGGAAUAAACAGAAUAGGAUGCUGGGCGGAAGAGGAAGUGAGGUCAGACUCUGCUCUGCUUCCGGGGAGACCCGACAGCUCUGCUCUCUAGAGCAGAGACGCCAUGCUCCGCUCUCCUGAUAGCUCUGCUCUCUGAGGCACACGCGAUGAAGCUCCAACCCAAGAUGGACAUAGGCUAGAAUCGUCCCGCUCAUAUCUGCAAGCCGCUGGGAGCCCGACAGGAAAGAGAACUCACCCCUGGAUCGUUCACGAGAAAGAACUGCCAUGAGAAGAUUACUUACAGUGCUGUGGGCAAGACUGGGUCACCGAGAGACAGAGACAGCAGGACACUGCUACCGCCUGUGAGGAAGGAUGGACAAGAUGGGGAAGUCAUGCCACCACCCUCCGAGGCCAGGAGGACGAGUAUGUGGAGAAAGUCUCCCCUAUGGGCUGAUGUGGCAGAAGCCCUCAGCCCCAGUCCGGGGCACAUCUCCCCACAGAUGUACCCCCAGUUGUCUCGUCUCAGCCCUGAGUGUCCUGCUGGUUCUCACUGUUGAUCCAACCCAGAAGAGAAGCCAGCUCAAAAGAAUGCCAGGCUAGGUCGCCAGGGUCACAGUUCAAGUCAGCCUCCGAGGCCCAGAUGCAGCAAAGAGAGCGAAGAACAGAUCCUCCCUGUUUGUCCUUCAGGCGUGUGUGUGACACUGGGAUAUAAAAAAAAAUAUGUAUUUGUUCGUUGACAUAGCUCCUCUGGUGGUUAGAAUGAGAAAGGUCCCAUAGGCUCAGAUAUUUGAAGUCCUGGCCCUCCGUUGGUGGACUGCUUUGGAAGGAUUAGGAGGUGCAGCCGUGUUAGAGAAAGUGUUCCUCCAACUGGGGACUAAGUGUUCAAAUAUAUGAGCCUAUGCGGGCCAUUCUCGUUCAUUCAAAUUGCUGCACCUGGGGUGGCUUUGGUGGCUGUUGAUGGUCUAGCACCCUAACCUACUGAGAUCUGUUCACUUAGAAUGAGAAAGUCUCAACACACCUAAGGACCCACAACCCCCCCCCUUUUCAGUAAUACACAGCCAAGAGAUUGAGGCAACCUUCUCAAGAGAGACUUUUUCAACAGUAUGUGUGUGUGUGUGUUUAUGUGUGUGUGUUUUAAAGCUACAUUGUUCAAGGGAUGUUAAUCUAUAUAUAAGCUUAAAAGAUUAAGAAAAACAUGGGUAUACUUAUUUUUAUAUGAGAUUACAAGGUAGUUAAUGAGUUUAUCAUUUUUACAGAUAAGGAAGGAAUGCUGAGAAACUAAUAGGAAAUCAAUAAAGGUCACACUGUAACCUUGAUCCUAGGCAGACAGGCCUUGCAGCAGAGAUUUCCCAAGAGCUUGCCCAAGUGCAAAGUUGGAGUGUUUAACAGGGCAACCCCAACCAUAGGGAGGACAAAAAAACUGGACUUUUCUUUUCUCUGCUCAAGCACAAGGAAGGAGAUAACAGAGAAGAAAUUGUGAAGAGCUGAUGAGGUCCUGCGUGAACGUGUAGUAUUGACGUGAGCCACACUAUGUCAAGGACCACAAAGCUUCAAACCCAUGGGAAUGGCGAUGCCCCCAACCCCGUGCCCCGGGCAGGGCAGAGGAAUGGCAACACUUCCCUUUAGUCCCGGUACUAAGCUGAGAACGGUUGACAUUUGGCUAAAACCAGAGUGUGUCGAAAGUGUCGAUGUAGUCUCCUCCUCCAUUAUGACUGAAAUCUGAGACCGCUCCCCUACGGAGACGCCCUACCGAGAUUAGCUAACCGCCUUGCACUGAGUUCCAGGCUGCUGUUGGGGCGUCUCCAUCAGAGCACAUUACCCCAUCCCUGCUUUUCUGUAUCUGUGUUCCUUGUUUCUGCAUUCCGCUGCAGCCCCAGUCAGGCCACUCACUAAGCUGUACAGGUAGUGACAAGAAAUAGAAGCCCCAGGCCUACCAGUCGCAUUCUUACUUGGCUUUGCCCAGCUGUUUUUCUUUUCCUUAUUAAAAUUUAUUUAGUUGUU